UUGAUCCUGGCUCAGAAUCAACGCUGGCGGCGUGCCUAACACAUGCAAGUCGAACGCGAAAGCCCCGCAAGGGGUUAGUAGAGUGGCAAACGGGUGAGUUACACGUGGGUGACCUGCCUUCGAGUGGGGGAUAACGUCCCGAAAGGGACUCUAAUACCGCAUGACAUCCUGCUUUUGGAAAAGCGGAGAUCAAAGCUGGUGAUCGCAAGACCUGGCGCUUGAAGAGGGGCCCGCGCCUGAUUAGCUAGUUGGUGGGGUAACGGCCUACCAAGGCGACGAUCAGUAUCCGGCCUGAGAGGUCGGACGGACACACUGGGACUGAGACACGGCCCAGACUCCUACGGGAGGCUGCAGUGGGGAAUUGUUCGCAAUGGGCGCAAGCCUGACGACGCAACGCCGUGUGGAGGACGAAGAUCUUCGGGUCGUAAGCUCCUGUCGAGUGGGAAGAAUGCUUCGGGGGUGAAUACCCUUCGGAAUUGACGGUACCACUAAAGGAAGCUCCGGCUAACUCCGUGCCAGCAGCCGCGGUAAUAAGGU
RNAcentral lists this ribosomal RNA (537 nucleotides) under uncultured Acidobacteriota bacterium. RNAcentral's name for it is "bacterial SSU rRNA". It matches the Rfam family "Bacterial small subunit ribosomal RNA", at positions 13 to 529 of the family's 1533-position model. Lineage: Bacteria; Pseudomonadati; Acidobacteriota. The record is from RNAcentral.